This 497-nucleotide ribosomal RNA is filed under the name uncultured bacterium. RNAcentral's name for it is "partial 16S ribosomal RNA". It matches the Rfam family "Bacterial small subunit ribosomal RNA", at positions 28 to 507 of the family's 1533-position model. The record is from RNAcentral.
GAUGAACGCUGGCGGCGUGCCUAAUACAUGCAAGUCGAGCGAACAGACGAGGAGCUUGCUCCUCUGACGUUAGCGGCGGACGGGUGAGUAACACGUGGAUAACCUACCUAUAAGACUGGGACAACAUCGGGAAACCGGUGCUAAUACCGGAUAAUAUAUUGAAACGCAUGGUUCAAGAUUGAAAGACGCAUUUGCUGUACCCUAUAGUUAGAUCCGCGUCGCUUUACUAAGUUGGUAAGUUAACGGCCUACCAAGGCAACGAUGCUUACCCGACCUGAGAGGGUGUUCGGCCACACGGGAACGGAGACACGGUCCAGACUCCUCCGGAAGGCAGCAGAAGGGAAUCUUCCGCAAAGGGGGAAAGCCUGACGGAGCAACGCCGCGUGAGUAAUGAAGUUCUUCGAUUCGUAAAACUCUGUUAUAAGGGAGGAACAAAUGUAUAAGGAACAGUGCACGUAGUGACGGUAACUAAUCAGAAAGCCACGGCUAACUACGUG